CAAUAGCGUAUAUUUAAGUUGUUGCAGUUAAAAAGCUCGUAGUUGGAUUUCGGUUAAGAGUGACCGGUCCGCCGUUUGGUGUGCACUGGUUGGUUUUAACUUCCUGUAGAGGACGUGCUCUGGGUUUAACGACCUGGACUCGGAGUCUACGUGGUUACUUUGAAAAAAUUAGAGUGUUCAAAGCGGGCUUACGCUUGAAUAUUUCAGCAUGGAAUAACACUAUAGGACUCCUGUCCUAUUUCGUUGGUCUCGGGACGGGAGUAAUGAUUAAGAGGAACAGUUGGGGGCAUUCGUAUUUCAUUGUCAGAGGUGAAAUUCUUGGAUUUAUGAAAGACGAACUUCUGCGAAAGCAUUUGCCAAGGAUGUUUUCAUUAA
Molecule: ribosomal RNA, 375 nt
Filed under: uncultured eukaryote
Lineage: Eukaryota
Description: partial 18S ribosomal RNA
Rfam family: Eukaryotic small subunit ribosomal RNA
Source: RNAcentral